ACUUGUUUUUAAAGGCAGGCGUGAUACGCACGAAAACUCUAUUUUCCCCCCUCCCUUCGAUUUUAACACGUACAGUGCUUAGAAAUCUCAAUUUCCCUUUCUUCUCCAAAUUCGUCUUCUCCAUUUUCUCUCUACCUGCAAAUUAAUCAAAACCCACCCAUUUCUAUUGCUACAUGGCUGUCCUCUUCCACCGAAAAUCACCAUUGACAGCGAAUCUACCUCCACCGAUUUGGCGCCCGCGGCUAGCAUGUUCUACAUUUCCUCUUAGCACAGUAAACACCAAUUUUCUGUGUAUUUCUCGAUUUUCUACAAUUUCCAGUUCAAAAAUCGACCUCUUUUAACAUUUUCGAAGCCGAUUAAUAGGGUUUUGAUGAUCGCGUCCUCCCCGUCCUCUCCUCCACUCAGUUGUCGCUGAUUAACAUUUUGAAUAUAUGACAUAUUUCAUGGAGGCCCUUGAACUGGAGGAUAUAGUAAAAAAUUACGAACGCCGUACUUUAACUGGAUGUUUUGUUUACUUUUACUCUUUACUCUUUUGCUUAUUGAGUCCAUCUCAAUAUAUGUUUCAGGUUGUUUAUUCAUGACCUUAGACAUUUAUAUCAAUUGUUUCAGGAAGUAUAUUUCAAGCCUUAGUGGUUCCUUAUGCAGAAUUUUGUUGGCGAUGCAUCCUCAGAAAGCAACUUAAGAAACUCUUAGCUAUCUUACUUGGUAUCAUGUCAGCUUCGAUUCUAUUAGCAGAGGCAACUUUACUGACAAGUGAUGUUGAUCUAUCUCUUUUCUCAAUCCUUAUAAAUUCUGUUCGAAAGCAAGAAAUACUUGUGCAGGUAUAAUGUACUAAAAGAUUCAAGUUUUUGAAAUUAUCUAGACGUAUUGCAUUUGGCCUGCAUUGGAGAAUUGGUUUUUUUUUUUUUUUUCAUCUUGUAAAAGUGAAUAUCUCUAGUCCUGCUUUCAUUAUAGACUCUCAAUAUCUAGUUGCCUUUAAGACAACUAGCUAAUGUUACAUACGUGUUCAUCAGAUUUGUUUAGGUCUAUACAUAUUUAGGCUUA
This is a long non-coding RNA of Juglans microcarpa x Juglans regia, 1044 nucleotides long. RefSeq lists it as uncharacterized. NCBI's taxonomy places the organism in Eukaryota, Viridiplantae, Streptophyta, Magnoliopsida, Fagales, Juglandaceae. The record is from RefSeq and is a predicted model, not a curated record. The transcript has 2 exons.